Molecule: ribosomal RNA, 355 nt
Filed under: uncultured bacterium
Lineage: Bacteria
Description: partial 16S ribosomal RNA
Rfam family: Bacterial small subunit ribosomal RNA
Source: RNAcentral
CCUACGGGAGGCAGCAGUGGGGAAUAUUGCGCAAUGGGCGAAAGCCUGACGCAGCGACGCCGCGUGAGGGAUGAAGGUCUUCGGAUCGUAAACCUCUGUCAGCAGGGAAGAACGGUCACUGUGCUAAUCAGCAGUGAAUUGACGGUACCUGCAAAGGAAGCACCGUCUAACUCCGUGCCAGCAGCCGCGGUAAUACGGAGGGUGCGAGCGUUAAUUGGAAUUACGGGGCGGAAAGCGAGCGUAGGCGGUAUGUGAAGUCAAGGGGGAAAUCCCCGAGCUCAACGUGGGAACUGCCUUUGAAACUGGCGAACUGGAGUGUGUGAGAGGAUAGUGGAAUUACAGGUGUAGGAGUGAA